UUUUAGGUUUUUUCACUGAUAAGUUUCAAGAUAUUUUAAAUUUGAUAAACGUUAUGGCUGGAAUAAGUAGAUUACAUGGUAGAAUAAGCAUAGUUACAGGCGCUGCAAGCGGGAUUGGUUAUUAUGUUGCAAAACGCUUUGCAGAAGAAGGCUCCAAAGUUAUGCUGGUAGACUGUAACGAAACUUUACUGGAAUCUGCGCACGCGGAGUUAAACGGAAAAUUUGAGGGCCAGGUUCAUUACUACUGUGGAGAUGUGUCCAAAAAAACUUGCGCGGAAGACGUCGUUUGCAAAACUAAGUCCCUAUUUGGCAGCAAAUCUACUGUAUUAGUAAACUCGGCUGGAAUCACGCGCGAAAAAAGAAUUCUAGAUACAACAGAGGAGGAGUUAAAAGUAGUCAUGGACGUUAAUUUUAGCGGCGUUUUCUAUUUCUGUCAAGCUUUUUGCAACGAGUUGUUAAGAAAAGAUGAAAAAAUGGGAUCCAUAAAUGCUAGUAUUGUAAAUAUCUCUAGUAUGGCAGGAAAAGCUGGUAUGUUUCAUCAUUCAAACUAUGCUGCAUCUAAAGCUGCGGUGAUUGGUUUCACUAAGACAUCAUGUAUAGAGUUUGGAAAACUCGGUAUCCGUACUAAUGCAGUUUUACCAGGGUUUAUAACAACUCCAAUGACAGAUGUUAUGACCCCUGCGUAUUUGGAUGCAGCAAUUAAAGCUACACCACUCAGAAGACUUGGCCAUCCUGAAGAAAUAGCCAAUGUUUGCCUGUUCUUGGCCUCAGAUGAGAGCUCCUAUGUAAAUGGUGCAUGUAUUGAAGUAUCUGGAGGAAUGGGGGCUUAGAAUUAGACUCGAAAUGAAAAAAAAUGAGAAAAAGAAUUGACUAAAAUUUCAUAAACUCUAAAUGAAAAAAAAAUUAAUAAAAUUUAUAAACUCAAAAUGAAGAAAUGAAUAGAAACAGGAAUAUGGGAUGAAUUUACAAAAAUUGUUGCAAGGUUAUGAAUAAGAAAGAACUGAACUAGAAAAUGUCAAUGUGUGAAAAACAUGUACCUUCAAGUAUUUUAGCAAUACUAUGCAAUUUCUAUUUAAUGUUGGCAAAAUAUUUUUAAUUUUUAUAAUUGUGUGUUUUAAUUAACGUAUUUAAGCAGUAACAAUUUAGUUCUAUUUUGAUAUUUAUUUUAAUCAUGUUUUAUUCUGUAUGUUAUGUCUUAGUAAAUAUUAGUGUUUUUAAUUUAUUUUGUAAUUUAUUGCAAUAAUUUGUUCUAAAUAAACCUAAUUUCUAG
Molecule: RNA transcript, 1270 nt
Organism: Ciona intestinalis (vase tunicate)
Lineage: Eukaryota; Metazoa; Chordata; Ascidiacea; Phlebobranchia; Cionidae
Gene name: 3-oxoacyl-[acyl-carrier-protein] reductase FabG pseudogene
Source: RefSeq, a predicted model, not a curated record